Molecule: long non-coding RNA, 502 nt
Filed under: Homo sapiens (human)
Lineage: Eukaryota; Metazoa; Chordata; Mammalia; Primates; Hominidae
Description: non-protein coding LINC01162:8
Source: RNAcentral
AGUGCGCACUCCUCCCAGUGCACUGGCCGGUUGGAGUUUUGCCAGGGAGGCCUUCCCACCUGCCUGUCUCAAUGGAAAGAAUAUGUGGAUUUGGAUUCAGGGACACCUUUAUCACCUAUGUGACUUUAGGAGUCAAUGAAGCAAGUUCAUGAGACUCUGAGGCAAGGACACCAAACCAGGGGUUUUAGCUCCUACCCAUGGUACUGGCUAAUAUAUCUGACCACACUGGCUCUGCAAGACCAUGGCUGAAGACUGCUUAAAUGUUGUCCCUGAGUCAAUAUCUUAACAUUUAUUGCAUCUUUUAUUUUCUUAACAAAAAUGAAGGCAUUUGUGACUGUGUUGUUUUCCAUCAAAAAUUGGGAAUCAUGCCCUUUCAUACAACACAGUUGUGACACAAUUUGUUGAAGUGAAAGAACACUGGAACAGAAACAAGAAUACCUGAGAUGGAGACUCACCUCUUACCAUCAAUCUAGUGUUGACUUUGGGUCCAUCUUUUCUUCUG